RNAcentral lists this long non-coding RNA (345 nucleotides) under Paramuricea clavata. The record is from RNAcentral. Lineage: Eukaryota; Metazoa; Cnidaria; Anthozoa; Malacalcyonacea; Plexauridae.
GUUUUAGCAAUCCGGAUGUCCGAAAUUUAAAAACAUUCAAAAACAAAUUUCUUUUUCCCUCUAUUUUGAGCAGUCCUUCCCAUUGUGAAAUUGGCAUUUUGACUAUGCGGGUUAACACUAGAUUUUGUUUUAAUUAGUAAUUUAUAUGUUUUUGUGUUCACAUUUACAGUUAUAAAAAAGUUCUAAAAGUAAAAACGUUUUUUACUCUUGAUAUAUACAAGGUUGCGUGAGUUUUUGCGAGGCAUGGCGGAUGUCCGGGGGGAGGGGGUGUCACUAAUUCGGACAAUGCCGGACAAGGGGGGGGGAGGGUCUGAAAAUCCAUCAUUUGGCCGGACAUCCUUUGUG